Molecule: ribosomal RNA, 1361 nt
Filed under: metagenome
Description: bacterial LSU rRNA
Rfam family: Bacterial large subunit ribosomal RNA
Source: RNAcentral
CCGCAUGAAAAAUGUAAAGCGUUAUGUGGAUCGAACAUUAGUAGAGAAGCGUGUGAGCCAGCUGCCAAGAAAAGCCGCUAUUGUUUCAUAAGUACCCGUACCGUAAACCGACACAGGUGGAUGAGGAGAGAAUCCUAAGGCCGGCGGGAGAAGUGUUGUUAAGGAACUCGGCAAAAUGACUCCGUAACUUCGGGAGAAGGAGUGCCACAGAGAUGUGGCCGCAGAGAAAUGGCCCAAGCAACUGUUUAGCAAAAACACAGGUCUAUGCAAAACCGAAAGGUGAGGUAUAUGGGCUGACGCCUGCCCGGUGCUGGAAGGUUAAGAGGAGAGGUUAGAGCAAUCGAAGCUUUGAAUUUAAGCCCCAGUAAACGGCGGCCGUAACGAUAACGGUCCUAAGGUAGCGAAAUUCCUUGUCGGGUAAGUUCCGACCCGCACGAAAGGCGUAAUGAUUUGGGCACUGUCUCAACAACACACCCGGUGAAAUUGAAAUACCAGUGAAGAUGCUGGUUACCUGCGCCAGGACGGAAAGACCCCAUGGAGCUUUACUCCAGUUUGAUACUGGGAUUCGGUACUGUCUGUACAGGAUAGGUGGGAGGCUAGGAAAUGGUGACGCCAGUUGCCAUGGAGCCAACCUUGGGAUACCACCCUUACAGUACUGGGUUUCUAACCUGCAGCCGUAACCCGGCUGGGGGACAAUGUCUGACGGGGAGUUUGACUGGGGCGGUCGCCUCCGAAAGAGUAUCGGAGGCGCUCAAAGGUUCCCUCAGAACGGUUGGAAACCGUUCGAAGAGUGCAAAGGCAGAAGGGAGCUUGACUGCGACACCGACGGGUGGAGCAGAUACGAAAGUAGGACUUAGUGAUCCGGUGGUAUAAAGUGGGAUUGCCAUCGCUCAACGGAUAAAAGCUACCCUGGGAUAACAGGCUUAUCACUCCCAAGAGUUCACAUCGACGGAGUGGUUUGGCACCUCGAUGUCGGCUCAUCGCAUCCUGGAGCUGUAGCAGGUUCCAAGGGUUGGGCUGUUCGCCCAUUAAAGCGGUACGCGAGCUGGGUUCAGAACGUCGUGAGACAGUUCGGUCCCUAUCCGGCGUGGGCGUAGGAUAUUUGAGAGGAGCUGUCCUUAGUACGAGAGGACCGGGAUGGACAAACCUCUGGUGUAUCUGUUGUUUUACCAAAGGCAUGGCAGAGUAGCCAAGUUUGGCAGGGAUAAACGCUGAAGGCAUCUAAGCGUGAAGCCCCCCUCAAGAUAAGAUAUCCCAUCUUCGGAGUAAGACCCCUUGAAGACUACAAGGUUGAUAGGCUUCAGGUGUAAGUGUGGUAACGCACUCAGCUGAGAAGUACUAAUAGGUCGAGGACUUAUCUA